Molecule: ribosomal RNA, 1061 nt
Filed under: uncultured bacterium
Lineage: Bacteria
Description: bacterial SSU rRNA
Rfam family: Bacterial small subunit ribosomal RNA
Source: RNAcentral
GCUUGCACUUUGAUGACGAGUGGCGCACGGGUGCGUAACGCGUAUAGAACCUACCCUGUACAGGGGGAUAGCCCAGAGAAAUUUGGAUUAAUACCCCGUGGUAACUAUAAAUGGCAUCAUUUAUAGUUUAAAGUUUUCGGACGGUACAGGAUGGCUAUGCGUCCUAUUAGUUAGAUGGUGAGGUAACGGCUCACCAUGGCAUCGAUAGGUAGGGGCCCUGAGAGGGGGAUCCCCCACACUGGUACUGAGACACGGACCAGACUCCUACGGGAGGCAGCAGUGAGGAAUAUUGGACAAUGGGCGUAAGCCUGAUCCAGCCAUGCCGCGUGCAGGAAGACGGCCCUAUGGGUUGUAAACUGCUUUUAUACGGGAAGAAUAAGGGACACGAGUGUCCUGGUGACGGUACCGUAAGAAUAAGGACCGGCUAACUCCGUGCCAGCAGCCGCGGUAAUACGGAGGGUCCGAGCGUUAUCCGGAAUUAUUGGGUUUAAAGGGUCCGCAGGCGGGCAAUUAAGUCAGGGGUGAAAUGGUACGGCUCAACCGUAGCACUGCCCUUGAUACUGGUUGUCUUGAGUCAUAGUGAAGUGGCCGGAAUAUGUAGUGUAGCGGUGAAAUGCAUAGAUAUUACAUAGAACACCGAUUGCGAAGGCAGGUCACUAACUAUCGACUGACGCUGAUGGACGAAAGCGUGGGGAGCGAACGGGAUUAGAUACCCCGGUAGUCCACGCCGUAAACGAUGGAUACUAGCUGUCCGCUGCCUUGAGCAGUGGGCGGCCCAGCGAAAGUGAUAAGUAUCCCACCUGGGGAGUACGUUCGCAAGAAUGAAACUCAAAGGAAUUGACGGGGGCCCGCACAAGCGGUGGGAGCAUGUGGUUUAAUUCGAUGAUACGCGAGGAACCUUACCAGGGCUUAAAUGCAUAAUGACAGGUCUAGAGAUAGACUUUUCUUCGGACAUUUUGCAAGGUGCUGCAUGGCUGUCGUCAGCUCGUGCCGUGAGGUGUCAGGUUAAGUCCUAUAACGAGCGCAACCCCUGCCGUCAGUUGCCAGCAAGUAAAGUUGGG